AGUGAACGCUGGCGGUAGGCCUAACACAUGCAAGUCGAACGGCAGCACAGGAGAGCUUGCUCUCUGGGUGGCGAGUGGCGGACGGGUGAGGAAUACAUCGGAAUCUACUUUUUCGUGGGGGAUAACGUAGGGAAACUUACGCUAAUACCGCAUACGACCUACGGGUGAAAGCAGGGGACCUUCGGGCCUUGCGCGAUUGAAUGAGCCGAUGUCGGAUUAGCUAGUUGGCGGGGUAAAGGCCCACCAAGGCGACGAUCCGUAGCUGGUCUGAGAGGAUGAGCAGCCAAACUGGAACUGAGACACGGUCCAGACUCCGACGGGAGGCAGCAGUGGGGAAUAUUGGACAAGGGGCGCAAGCCUGAUCCAGCCAUACCGCGUGGGUGAAGAAGGCCUUCGGGUUGUAAAGCCCUUUUGUUGGGAAAGAAAUCCAGCUGGCUAAUACCCGGUUGGGAUGACGGUACCCAAAGAAUAAGCACCGGCUAACUUCGUGCCAGCAGCCGCCGUAA
Molecule: ribosomal RNA, 506 nt
Filed under: uncultured bacterium
Lineage: Bacteria
Description: partial 16S ribosomal RNA
Rfam family: Bacterial small subunit ribosomal RNA
Source: RNAcentral